RNAcentral lists this ribosomal RNA (376 nucleotides) under uncultured bacterium. RNAcentral's name for it is "bacterial SSU rRNA". It matches the Rfam family "Bacterial small subunit ribosomal RNA", at positions 28 to 408 of the family's 1533-position model. The record is from RNAcentral.
GACGAACGCUGGCGGCGUGCUUAACACAUGCAAGUCACGGGGGGUUGGAGCAAUCCGAGCAACCGGCGAACGGGUGCGUAACACGUGAGCGACCUGCCCAGUUGUGGGGGAUAGCCGGCCCAACGGCCGGGUAAUACCGCAUACGCGUCUUUGGGGGCAUCCCUGGGGACGGAAACCUACGGGGCGAUUGGAGGGGCUCGCGGCCUAUCAGCUAGUUGCGAGGUAACGGCUCACCAAGGCGAUGACGGGUAGCUGGUCUGAGAGGAUGGCCAGCCACAUUGGGACUGAGAGACGGCCCAGACUCCUACGGGAGGCAGCAGUGGGGAAUCUUGCGCAAUGGCCGAAAGGGCUGACGCAGCGACGCCGACGUGGAGGA